RNA transcript from Bolinopsis microptera, 3047 nucleotides. RefSeq lists it as uncharacterized. Lineage: Eukaryota; Metazoa; Ctenophora; Tentaculata; Lobata; Bolinopsidae. The transcript has 12 exons. The record is from RefSeq and is a predicted model, not a curated record.
GCCCGGUGUAGGAAAUGUUUUACCGGUUAUAGUCUUCUCUUGUUUUAUACCAAUCUGCAACUCUUAAUGUUUGAUGUCAUCGCGCAGUUUUAAAUUCGUAUUGCUUUCAUUCUUCAUCUCCUGCUUUCUGCUCCACCAGACAAAUGGUUCAAUUUGUUAUAACGAAAAAUUGGUUGAAAGCAGGACUGAGAUGCAGCAAGUGGAGACCGGAACUGGUAGCGUCUCAAACAUCCCAGCAAAGCUGUCAGAUGGGCAAAGUAUUACAGUCAUCUGUAAAAAUGCACGACAUGUUUUCGUGAAUCAGAUACGCAGUAAACCGGGGGUGGAUACUGACCUGAUAGACGAGGUGCUGGCUGUAAACCCAAACUCCCUUCACUUACAAAAAGGAGAGAUAGCUGUUAGAUGUGAAGGAGGAGCUCUCAAACCAGAUAUAUUUACUGGGAUCUCUACUUGGUGCGCAGAGGGAUGCAGUCCUAUACCGGAGACCAUGCUGACCUUCCACCAAGUCUCAUACUCUCCUACCUCCAUCUCCAUCUCCCCAACUACUCCCCCUAUUCUUAAGAGCAUCAAGGGGUACAUAACUGUAAGUUGCCGAGAGAGUUACGCUCCAGCCGUUCUUCAGACAGGAGCCCAGGAUACCCGGUGUUUGGGUGAUGGUUAUGACUCUCCCGUCACCAAACUUGUGACUUGCGUCUCUGGUUGUAAAGACAUAACCAGAACAUUUAUGAAUGGGGAACUUGAAGCAAAACCCGAAGCUAGCGAGGUGGAGGGAGCUCCCACUUUUAACGUUGGAGCUGUCAUCUCUGUAUCUUGUAGAUCCGGCUAUCAUAAUCCCGGAGAGAGAUUUGUAACUUGCACUUCUGAUCAAGAAUGGUCUCCUGCCUUGCCUAAGUGUAUAUCCGACUCAGACAAGUCCCGUAGUGUGCCACAAACUACACCCUCUUCUGUACUUUUUAUUAUAAUUUUUGUUUGCAAACAUGAACAAUGGAUCAUGGAAUGACUGAUCGUAGCCAAGGAAAACAAAACUUAAUCAAAGCUUGGUAUAACAAAUUCUGACUUUUUGACAUUUUUACUUUUUUUUCUAAUAAAUACAAUUAACGAUACUGCUUACUGAUAAAUAUUGAUUUUCUUACUGAACAGCCCUGAAAAUCAAUUCAGAUUCGCUAUAAUUGAAAAGACCCUUUUUCGAAUUUAAUCCAAAAAUAAUUAGAUAUUCGAUCAAUAUAAGUAGUUAAACCUUUAAGUUCCACACUUACUGAAAUGUCAUUUGAUAAGUACCGAGUAGGACCAUGUAGAACCUUUGACAGUAAGGAUGGUCGGCAGCUGAAAGAUUAGAUGUCGAGACAAAAAUCCAUAUUCAGCAGCAUUCUCCUUUUCCUUCUCCUAGCAGGGACGUUAUGUACAGACUGCACAUCGGAUAAGAUAACGAUCUCGGUAGAUCAGAUCAAGGAUUUUAAGACCGGAAAGAAUCUUCCUUCGACCUUUGCUGAUGGUGACACCUACACAAUUGUGUGCAAGUACCCUGCAACCCAGGUGUUCACUAACGACGUCAGAGGACAGGCUGAAGUUAAUCAGAGCAGAAUAGAUGAGUUCGACAGUGCAACAAACUCUCACGUCGGACAAAUUGUGGUCAAAUGCAAGAAUGGACUCUUUUCACCGGAUAUUUUCUUCAAAGUUCUUAACUGGUGUGCAGUAGGUUGUUCCCCAGUUCCUGAAGACACGAACCAGCACUGGAAAGCUAGCUACUCGGACGGUUCUCUUUCAACAGCAAAGAAGUCAGCCCCCAUCAUUCCGAACAUUGACAGUUAUAUCAAUGUUCAAUGUAGAGAAGGGUACGCUCCUAGGAUGUAUCAGUUAGGAGGGUUCUCCACCAGGUGUCUAGCAUCUGGUUAUAGCCCAGGACUUUUAAACCUGGUCCAAUGCACAGCUGGUUGCUCAGACAUAUCUGCACAAGUUCCAAAUGCUCGAGUAGUGAGUGAGAGGAGUGCUGUGUCAGGUGCAGCUCCCUAUAACAUUGGUUCUGUAGCUACCGUCAUCUGCUCCAAUGGAUACACCCUUCAGGGUUCCCAGCACACGACGUGCACCUCGCUCCAGGAGUGGUCCCCGAGUGUACCUGUCUGUGCUAUAAACUCGGCGUUAGGACAACUUGGCCAUCGGACAAUUGUUUCAACAAUGUUCUUCAUCAUUGUUAUGAUUUUUAGCUUAUAGUUGGGGCCUCAAUACUUUGGUAUCGGCUUUUACAAGAGUUUUAAUUUUUAAGGAAUUUGAAUAUUCAUGAUUGACGGCAUUUUAUAAUCAUGAUUUGAUGUCUGUUAUUAUUUACGGUAUAACUCAAUGGUCAAUUCUCGGUAUGCUACUAUAUAUAGUCUUCAUGGCAGGAAUUUAUUUGCUUUUAAAAUGUCAAAACCCUUGUAUUCGGUCCUCGGUCUCGACCAAUUUCUAAAUGCAAAUUUUGUUAAUUUAUUGGGACUACAGGAAAGCUACAGUCUGUUCUCUGAAUUUUAACAAAGGCAACAGAUUAAAUUUCCCACCCGUUUAAUUCUACCCAGGCUUUAUUGCCAAAUAGUACCCCAUUAUUCAGAAUCAGAAUAAUGGAAUUCACGGUGACAAUACAAGAGCAAUUCAAAGGUUGACAGACCAUUGUAUUGACUAUCUUAUAUUUUCGCUUGGAAUAUUUUGUUUGAUUUGUUAGUUUAGGAGAGAAUCACGUCAGAAAAUCUAUUAUUGCCCCAGACUUUUCGUUUUAAUAAAAUGUCCCCUUUUAUUUAUUUGUCAGACGUAAACAGGGCUAUUAAAAUUUGAAGAUUUCCUUCAAACAUGGGAUAAUUUAUUGGGACUACAGGAAAGCUGCAGUCUGUUCUCUGAAUUUUAACAAAGGCAACAGAUUAAAUUUCCCACCCGUUUAAUUCUACCCAAGCGCUUUAUUGCCAAAUGCCAAAUAGUACCCUAUUAUUCAGAAUCAGGAUAAUGGAAUUCACGGUGACAAUACAAGAACAAUUCAAAGGUUGGCAUACCAUUGUAUUGACUAUCUUAUAUUUUGCGCUUGG